UGAUUCGCUUGAGAGAGUGAACGUCUUGUUUGGCUGCAACUGCGAACAAGAUUUCAGAAAUUACAAGCGUAAAUGGAGCUGAGAAUUCUUGAAAUCGUCAGCCCUAACCGCCUUAACGUCGCGUAUAUAAAGGAAAAUGAUUUCUUGUUAGAGAUAUUGAGCUCUCAGGUCCAAGCCUUUGAGCCUCUGAGGUAAGAAACCGCUUCUCAUGCCUUUAUUUUGAUCGGCGAUAUUUACAUUUCCUCCUGCUAUAAAUUUCCCAAUGUUUAUGGCUUUUACCUUGCUUGGUGACCUCGCUUUUACCCUUUUAGCUUUAAUUCAGACUUUACAUGGCUCCUUUGUUCAUGUGUUACAUAUUUUGGGUUUAAUUUGGUCUGCAACUAUUUUGAGGCUGAUAGUCCUCUUUGUAUGUUGUAUGAAUUAUAGGGUUAAGAACUGAACAGAGCAGCUAUUCAGUCCUUGUUUCUUUCUAUUAGAUGUGAACUCCACAGUAGCUCUUGAUCAUUUUGGUAUAUAGAAUUUUGCACAAGCAAAUGAAGAUUUGUACUGUUAAGUGUUAACACUCCUUUGCUCAGGAGUUGUUAGUCAUCUUGCUAAGUUUGAUAUAAUUGAUAUUUAAAACGGGAUUGCAGUUAUCUUGAACUUUGCUUAAUUCACCAUCAGUUGGCCUUGAAGCUAAUUAAGGGAGGUUACAAUAUUAAAGCUUUGAUACCCAAGGGGCAAAAGCUAAUGUUGUGGUACUUGUGGCACUAGGUGGAUCAGUGUUUGCUCUCCUAAUAAUCUCUCUUUUUUUAGAA
This is an RNA transcript of Fragaria vesca subsp. vesca, 797 nucleotides long. RefSeq lists it as uncharacterized. The record is from RefSeq and is a predicted model, not a curated record. NCBI's taxonomy places the organism in Eukaryota, Viridiplantae, Streptophyta, Magnoliopsida, Rosales, Rosaceae. The transcript is spliced from 2 exons.